AAGUCGUAACAAGGUUUCCGUAGGUGAACCUGCGGAAGGAUCAUUAAUGGUGCUUGCAGAAAUGCUUGCACGGCGGCGGCCUUAAAACGCGCCAAAUGGCACCCUUUGUUUACGAGUACCGUUCGUUUCCUCGGUGGGCUUGCCUGCCAUGAGGACCAACAAAAACCUUUUGUAGUAGCAGUAUCUUCAGUAAAAACAAAUAUUAAAACUUUCAACAACGGAUCUCUUGGUUCUGGCAUCGAUGAAGAACGCAGCGAAAUGCGAUAAGUAGUGUGAAUUGCAGAAUUCAGUGAAUCAUCGAAUCUUUGAACGCACAUUGCGCCCUUCGGUAUUCCGUUGGGCAUGCCUGUUCGAGCGUCAUUUAAUCAUUCAAGCUCUGCUUGGUGUUGGGUGUUUGUUCCGCCUCAGCGCGUGGACUCGCCUUAAAUUCAUUGGCAGCCGGUAUGUUGGCUUCGUGCGCAGCACAUUGCGUCGCGAUUCUGGCAGGCCUCCUCCCAUUAAGCUUCUUUUAAGUUUGACCUCGGAUCAGGUAGGGAUACCCGCUGAACUUAAGCAUAUCAAUAAGCGGAGGAAAAGAAACCAACAGGGAUUGCCCCAGUAACGGCGAGUGAAGCGGCAAUAGCUCAAAUUUGAAAUCUGGCUCUUUCAGGGUCCGAGUUGUAAUUUGCAGAGGGCGCUUUGGCGUCGGCAGCAGCCUAAGUUCCUUGGAACAGGUCAUCAUAGAGGGUGAGAAUCCCGUAUGUGGCUGCUUGUCUUCGCCGUGUAAAGCCCCUUCGAUGAGUCGAGUUGUUUGGGAAUGCAGCUCUAAAUGGGAGGUAAAUUUCUUCUAAAGCUAAAUAUUGGCCAGAGACCGAUAGCGCACAAGUAGAGUGAUCGAAAGAUGAAAAGCACUUUGGAAAGAGAGUCAAAAAGCACGUGAAAUUGUUGAAAGGGAAGCGCUUGCAGCCAGACGUGCCCGUAGUUGCUCAUCGGGGGUUCUCCCCCGUGUACUCUUCUAUGGGCAGGCCAGCAUCGGUCCGGGCGGUUGGAGAAAGACCUGUGUCAUGUAGCUGUUUUCGGGCAGUGUUAUAGGGCAGGUGGAAUGCAACCAGCCUGGACUGAGGUCCGCGCAUCUGCUAGGAUGCUGGCGUAAUGGCUGUAAGCGGCC
This 1147-nucleotide ribosomal RNA is filed under the name uncultured Trichocladium. RNAcentral's name for it is "eukaryotic LSU rRNA". The stretch from base 516 to 1147 matches the Rfam family "Eukaryotic large subunit ribosomal RNA", at positions 1 to 649 of the family's 3401-position model. The record is from RNAcentral. Lineage: Eukaryota; Fungi; Ascomycota.